CAAAAUAUGGUAAAUAUGACAGCAAUGGCUCAAUUACAGGAAUGCAAAACAUACAUUUUGUUUAAAGCUGCAUUAUUAGAGUUUUUGGAUGCUCAGGAACAUUGGGACAAAGUGAAGACACACUUGACAUAGCACACGUUAGCAGAGUUUCCUGUUUACACAUUCAUUGGACACUGAAGAACAAAAUAAGCAUUCAUCUGCAAUUGUGUUUGUGUCCAUCUGAUAAAUUUAAGCCUAGUGUUCGCUUAUAUCUUAACUCUAGCUUGUCUUCACCAGUGGCAUGUCCAGGACAUUUUCACUUGGGCGGCCAAGGUGGGCCAUAGAGCUAGUGUAGGGUGGCCAUGGCACAGUGAACCUUAAUAAAUGGCAGGUGAUCAAAAUGUGUAAUACAGAUGUUCAAGGUGUCACAUUGAAAUCUUUAGCAAUAAACAAAUGGUGCCAAUGCUCACCACCACCACAAAAGCUAAAGCUGAUAAUACAAUCUGAACAGUACUAACAAGCAACUACCAUUCUAUUCAGUUUUCUAUUUGACUGCCAUCCAUCACAAUCUCAGGGACCUGUGAUUAUUUUAUUGUUUCUAUUUUAAUAAUCACUAAUUAUGUCAGGAUAGGCUACACAUUUUCUCAGGGCCAUUUUCUUAUAGUGGCACACUCAUCUCUUCUCAAGCUAAGAUAGCAAAAUCCAUCUGCUUUUAACAUGAAGUGUACUAUAUAAUCAUGAAAAGUGAUGUAUUUCAAACUAAUGUUUCAAUUGACUUUUAUUCAAACAAAAGUGAAUGACAAUACAUGAAUAAAUUAAAUUAUGAAAUGUGUAAAUAACCAAACCUCAAGUCCAAAGUUUGUACUUUACUGUCAUGAGGCCACUCGUCUCGUCCAUCCAUACUAGUAUUUAAUAAAGCUUUCACAACUGUAUCUGCGUGUGGGUCCUCCUUCCCUCGAACACACACACAGCUUAACAUUUACUAAUGUUGUAUAAUGUUAACUAUGUUAACGCUCAUGACCAAUAGGGAGUUAUAAUAAUUAGAAUAAGAGGGAUUUCAGUUCCCCUGCUACAAAGAAAAAAAAUACAGAUCAAUGGAUGUACGCAAUCAAUAGAU
This 1096-nucleotide long non-coding RNA is filed under the name Mastacembelus armatus (zig-zag eel). Its description in RNAcentral is "lncRNA (ENSMAMG00000025966.1)". Lineage: Eukaryota; Metazoa; Chordata; Actinopteri; Synbranchiformes; Mastacembelidae. The record is from RNAcentral.